RNAcentral lists this ribosomal RNA (255 nucleotides) under uncultured bacterium. Its description in RNAcentral is "partial 16S ribosomal RNA". It matches the Rfam family "Bacterial small subunit ribosomal RNA", at positions 524 to 776 of the family's 1533-position model. The record is from RNAcentral.
UACGUAGGGUGCGAGCGUUGUCCGGAAUUACUGGGCGUAAAGAGCUCGUAGGUGGUUUUGUCGCGUUGUUCGUGAAAACUCACAGCUUAACUGUGGGCGUGCGGGCGAUACGGGCAGACUGGAGUACUGCAGGGGAGACUGGAAUUCCUGGUGUAGCGGUGGAAUGCACAGAUAUCAGGAGGAACACCGGUGACGAAGGCGGGUCUCUGGGCAUUAACUGACGCUGAGGAGCGAAAGCAUGGGGGAGCAAACAGG